RNAcentral lists this ribosomal RNA (460 nucleotides) under uncultured bacterium. Its description in RNAcentral is "partial 16S ribosomal RNA". It matches the Rfam family "Bacterial small subunit ribosomal RNA", at positions 338 to 795 of the family's 1533-position model. The record is from RNAcentral.
CCUACGUGUGGCAGCAGUGAGGAAUAUUGGUCAAUGGACGAGAGUCUGAACCAGCCAAGUAGCGUGAAGGAUGACUGCCCUAUGGGUUGUAAACUUCUUUUAUAUGGGAAUAAAAUGUUCCACGUGUGGGAUUUUGUAUGUACCAUAUGAAUAAGGAUCGGCUAACUCCGUGCCAGCAGCCGCGGUAAUACGGAGGAUCCGAGCGUUAUCCGGAUUUAUUGGGUUUAAAGGGUGCGUAGGUGGAUUGUUAAGUCAGUUGUGAAAGUUCGCGGCUCAACCGUAAAAUUGCAGUUGAAACUGGCAGUCUUGAGUACAGGAGAGGUGGGCGGAAUGCGUGGUGUAGCGGUGAAAUGCUGAGAUAUCACGAAGAAAUCCGAUUGCGAAGGCAGUUCACUGGACUGCAACUGACACUGAGGCUCGAAAGUGUGGGUAUCAAACAGGAUUAGAUACCCGAGUAGUC